AAACCUUGAUGAUGAGCUGCAUGUGAGUCCGUGUUUCACCUGAACCUCGUGAUUACUCUUCACUGCGCUGAUGGUUU
This 77-nucleotide small nucleolar RNA is filed under the name Stegastes partitus (bicolor damselfish). RNAcentral describes it as "Small nucleolar RNA SNORD126 (ENSSPAG00000012453.1)". Lineage: Eukaryota; Metazoa; Chordata; Actinopteri; Pomacentridae. The record is from RNAcentral.